AUACGGAGGAUGCGAGCGUUAUCCGGAUUUAUUGGGCUUAAAGGGUGCGAAGGCGGGGGAUUAAGUCCGCGGGGAAAUGCACGGGCUCAUCCGGAGCAGUGCCGUUGAUACUGGGUAUCUUGACUGCGGUCAAGGCAGGCGGAAUGUGGCGUAGAGCGGUGAAAUGCAUAGAAAAGACACAGAACGCCGAUAGCGAAGGCAGCUGGCCGGGCCUGCAUUGACGCUCAGGCACGAAAGCGUGGGGAUCGAACAGGAUUAGAUUCCCUGGUAGUCCACGCUGUAAACGAUGGACACUCGUUGUCGGCGACAUACAGUCGGCGGCCAAGCGAAAGUGAUAAGUGUCCCACCUGGGGAGUACGGUCGCAAGGCUGAAACUUAAAGGAAUUGACGGGGG
Molecule: ribosomal RNA, 394 nt
Filed under: uncultured bacterium
Lineage: Bacteria
Description: partial 16S ribosomal RNA
Rfam family: Bacterial small subunit ribosomal RNA
Source: RNAcentral